This 1453-nucleotide ribosomal RNA is filed under the name Lacticaseibacillus sp. Its description in RNAcentral is "bacterial SSU rRNA". It matches the Rfam family "Bacterial small subunit ribosomal RNA". The record is from RNAcentral. Lineage: Bacteria; Bacillati; Bacillota; Bacilli; Lactobacillales; Lactobacillaceae.
UGGCUCAGGAUGAACGCUGGCGGCGUGCCUAAUACAUGCAAGUCGAACGAGUUUUGGUCGAUGAACGGUGCUUGCACUGUGAUUCAACUUAAAACGAGUGGCGGACGGGUGAGUAACACGUGGGUAACCUGCCCUUAAGUGGGGGAUAACAUUUGGAAACAGAUGCUAAUACCGCAUAAAUCCAAGAACCGCAUGGUUCUUGGCUGAAAGAUGGCGUAAGCUAUCGCUUUUGGAUGGACCCGCGGCGUAUUAGCUAGUGGUGAGGUAACGGCUCACCAAGGCGAUGAUACGUAGCCGAACUGAGAGGGAUCGGCCACAUUGGGACUGAGACACGGCCCAAACUCCUACGGGAGGCAGCAGUAGGGAAUCUUCCACAAUGGACGCAAGUCUGAUGGAGCAACGCCGCGUGAGUGAAGAAGGCUUUCGGGUCGUAAAACUCUGUUGUUGGAGAAGAAUGGUCGGCAGAGUAACUGUUGUCGGCGUGACGGUAUCCAACCAGAAAGCCACGGCUAACUACGUGCCAGCAGCCGCGGUAAUACGUAGGUGGCAAGCGUUAUCCGGAUUUAUUGGGCGUAAAGCGAGCGCAGGCGGUUUUUUAAGUCUGUGUGAAAGCCCUCGGCUUAACCGAGGAAGCGCAUCGGAAACUGGGAAACUUGAGUGCAGAAGAGGACAGUGGAACUCCAUGUGUAGCGGUGAAAUGCGUAGAUAUAUGGAAGAACACCAGUGGCGAAGGCGGCUGUCUGGUCUGUAACUGACGCUGAGGCUCGAAAGCAUGGGUAGCGAACAGGAUUAGAUACCCUGGUAGUCCAUGCCGUAAACGAUGAAUGCUAGGUGUUGGAGGGUUUCCGCCCUUCAGUGCCGCAGCUAACGCAUUAAGCAUUCCGCCUGGGGAGUACGACCGCAAGGUUGAAACUCAAAGGAAUUGACGGGGGCCCGCACAAGCGGUGGAGCAUGUGGUUUAAUUCGAAGCAACGCGAAGAACCUUACCAGGUCUUGACAUCUUUUGAUCACCUAGAGAUCAGGUUUCCCCUUCGGGGGCAAAAUGACAGGUGGUGCAUGGUUGUCGUCAGCUCGUGUCGUGAGAUGUUGGGUUAAGUCCCGCAACGAGCGCAACCCUUAUGACUAGUUGCCAGCAUUCAGUUGGGCACUCUAGUAAGACUGCCGGUGACAAACCGGAGGAAGGUGGGGAUGACGUCAAAUCAUCAUGCCCCUUAUGACCUGGGCUACACACGUGCUACAAUGGAUGGUACAACGAGUUGCGAGACCGCGAGGUCAAGCUAAUCUCUUAAAGCCAUUCUCAGUUCGGACUGUAGGCUGCAACUCGCCUACACGAAGUCGGAAUCGCUAGUAAUCGCGGAUCAGCACGCCGCGGUGAAUACGUUCCCGGGCCUUGUACACACCGCCCGUCACACCAUGAGAGUUUGUAACACCCGAAGCCGGUGGCGUAACCCUU